AGGCUCCACCUGUCAGUCAUUUGACGUCAUCAGUGGCUCCGCCCACCAGCUGCCUCCGACAGGCUCCAGCUGUUAGUCAUGUGACAUCAUCAGUGGCUCCGCCCACCAGCUGCCUCCAACAGGGUUUGGCGUCUCGGGUGCGUUCGGUGAGUGUUGGAGAACAAUGGCUGCAGAGCGGCCCCUGCAGGAGGAUUCGUGGCGAGGCGAAGAAAUGUCGUAAAGUUUACGGCAUCGAACACAGAGACCAGUGGUGCACGGCCUGUCGCUGGAAGAAAGCCUGCCAACGGUUCCUCGACUAAAGAGGAAGAGGAAGGUGAAGAGGAAGAAGAGGAAGAGGAGAAUACAUUGAAAAAUGUACUGGAAUUUUUUUAUUGACUCCCUUUCUUGAAAUACUUAAUUUUCUAUACAAGUUUCUUCCAGUUAUUUCGACUUUACCCCAAAAAUUCUCAAAAUGAGUUUUUCUGUCCUCUGACCUCAAAAGACAUUUUUACAGAAUGAUUUCAAAAGAAAAUAGAUUUUUGUUGUGCAGUUGAGAUUAUGUUCUGAUUAUAUCUCAACAACAUGAAACAAGACAUUUGAACCUGGCUUUAUCCAAACAAACGGACUUUCGGACUUCCCCUGAGAGGAUUAUUCUUCUUCGACUGAAGAGGAAGAAGAGGAAGAGGAGGAAGAUGAGGAAGAGGAGGAGGAAAUACUGAGAGAAGACAGACUGAACCAGAGGGACGUUUUGUGGAAUCUGAGUUUAUAAAUAUUUUCCGUUCUCAUUUUUAUACUCUUUCUAUACAAGUGUCCUUUUUUUUUAAAUCUUUGAAUGUAUUUUGUAGACGUCCUGUUUUUAUGAUGCACACGUUUGGGGGCAGCUAUGAUGUGACCUUUGAACCAUUGGAACUCUUGAAUUAUGAGAUUUGAAGCAGCCGAAUGGGGCGAGUUAUAAAUAUAUAAAUACUGCUGUUUAUCGAGAUUAUUCACAAAAACAUUGAAAAACAGAAACGUUGACUUUAAAGGUCCCCAAUUAUACUCUUUAUCAUCAAUAUAUGACAGGUCUCAGAUAUAUAUAGAACAGGUGAUAAGUUUGUGUUACCUUGGUUGCUGAUUGGCUAAUGGUUACACAACC
Long non-coding RNA from Notothenia coriiceps (black rockcod), 1114 nucleotides. RefSeq lists it as uncharacterized. The transcript is spliced from 4 exons. NCBI's taxonomy places the organism in Eukaryota, Metazoa, Chordata, Actinopteri, Perciformes, Nototheniidae. The record is from RefSeq and is a predicted model, not a curated record.